This is a long non-coding RNA of Hippocampus zosterae (dwarf seahorse), 439 nucleotides long. RefSeq lists it as uncharacterized. The transcript is spliced from 3 exons. The record is from RefSeq and is a predicted model, not a curated record. Lineage: Eukaryota; Metazoa; Chordata; Actinopteri; Syngnathiformes; Syngnathidae.
GAGUUCCUAUCUCAUGAGAAAGAUUUAUUCAUUGACCUUCAAUUGCCAUAACUUAAUCAGAACACCUUUAAAUCUCACUGACUCUGUUCAUUUACCAAAAUCGAAGAGGCCAGACCGGGAAUGAUGAAGGCGCCUGAUGAUCCCAAGUAAUUAAGAAAUUCAAAGAGAUUCUUUAAAUGAGCUGGUGAUCACAUGCCGGUUCAACCUUGUAUUAACAUGGACCCUCCAUCAAAGCAAGACAAUGUUCCCUCUCUCAUUCUCAAUCACUCGACGUGGUGCUACUCUGCCGCUUCAUGCUCUAGGAAAGCCUGUGGAGAAAUUUAUUGAUAUGUGCACUCAUAACUCAGACCGUUGGUACUUCACAGACCGUCAUCUGUUACCGCUUCAUCCAUUUCCUCCUUCGAGCCCUGCAGAUGACCUGCAGAUAAAUAGUCUGUGU